RNAcentral lists this unclassified non-coding RNA (337 nucleotides) under Hevea brasiliensis (rubber tree). Lineage: Eukaryota; Viridiplantae; Streptophyta; Magnoliopsida; Malpighiales; Euphorbiaceae. The record is from RNAcentral.
ACCCACCAUCACCAUUGUCAUCAUCACUAUCAUCAUUAUCAUCUGAGGAAUUUGAACCACCAACAGGAGAAACAUGGUGGAUACUAGCAGCACUCUCAUCCAUUGUUAGGCGGUUCGGCCUUUCAGACUGCCUAAGACGUCUGUUGAGACCAUCCCCUGAUGGCCCAAAUGCAUGCAACAGAAGGAAGACAUUCACCAAGUUUCGAUCAAAACCCACCUCAAAACCUCCAUUACUCUCUGCAGCAUCUGCAUCAAAAUGCCCAUUUUCUUCAUCUAUAUCAAAACCAUAAUUAUUUCCCUCUAUUACAUAAUCCCCAAAAACCAUUGCCCCAGGCAU